RNAcentral lists this ribosomal RNA (460 nucleotides) under uncultured bacterium. RNAcentral's name for it is "partial 16S ribosomal RNA". It matches the Rfam family "Bacterial small subunit ribosomal RNA", at positions 338 to 795 of the family's 1533-position model. The record is from RNAcentral.
CCUACGGGAGGCAGCAGUGAGGAAUAUUGGUCAAUGGACGAGAGUCUGAACCAGCCAAGUAGCGUGAAGGAUGACUGCCCUAUGGGUUGUAAACUUCUUUUAUAUGGGAAUAAACUGUUCCACGUGUGGGAUUUUGUAUGUACCAUUUGAAUAAGGAUCGGCUACCUCCGUGCCAGCAGCCGCGGUAAUACGGAGGAUCCGAGCGUUAUCCGGGUUUAUUGGGUUUAAAGGGAGCGUAGGUGGAUUGUUAAGUCAGUUGUGAAAGUUUGCGGCUCAACCGUAAAAUUGCAGUUGAAACUGGCAGUCUUGAGUACAGUAGAGGUGGGCGGAAUUCGUGGUGUAGCGGUGAAAUGCUUAGAUAUCACGAAGAACUCCGAUUGCGAAGGCAGUUCACUGGACUGCAACUGACACUGAGGCUCGAAAGUGUGGGUAUCAAACAGGAUUAGAUACCCGAGUAGUC